AGCGAACGCUGGCGGUAGGCCUAACACAUGCAAGUCGAACGGCAGCAUAGUAAUAGCUUGCUGUUACGUGUGGCGAGUGGCGGACGGUUGAUGUAGACAUCGGAAUCUACUUUUUCGUUUGUGCUAACGUAGGGAAACUUACGCGGAUACCGCAUACGACCUACUUGUGAAAGCAGGGGAUCUUCUGACCUGGUGCUGUUGAAUGAGCCGAGGUCGGAGUAGCUAGUUGGCGGGGUAAAGGCCCAACAAGGCGACGAUCCGAAGCUGGUCUGGGAGCAUGAAUAGCCAGACUGGAACGGAGACACGCUACAGACUCCUAGGGGAGGCCACAGUCGGGAAUAUUGGACAAUGGGCGAAAGCCUGAUCCAGCCCUACCGCGUGGGUGCAGACGGCCCUAGGCUUGUAAAGCCCUUUUGUUGGGAAAGAAAAGCAGCUGGUUAAUCCCCCGCUGUUCUGACGGUACCCAAAGAAUAAGCCCCGGCUAACUUCGUG
This 492-nucleotide ribosomal RNA is filed under the name uncultured bacterium. RNAcentral's name for it is "partial 16S ribosomal RNA". It matches the Rfam family "Bacterial small subunit ribosomal RNA", at positions 29 to 507 of the family's 1533-position model. The record is from RNAcentral.